GACGAACGCUGGCGGCGUGCUUAACACAUGCAAGUCGAACGGAAAGGCCCUGCUUUUGUGGGGUGCUCGAGUGGCGAACGGGUGAGUAACACGUGAGUAACCUGCCCUUGACUUUGGGAUAACUUCAGGAAACUGGGGCUAAUACCGGAUAGGAGCUCCUGCUGCAUGGUGGGGGUUGGUAAGUUUCGGCGGUUGGGGAUGGACUCGCGGCUUAUCAGCUUGUUGGUGGGGUAGUGGCUUACCAAGGCUUUGACGGGUAGCCGGCCUGAGAGGGUUACCGGCCACAUUGGGACUGAGAUACGGCCCAGACUCCUACGGGAGGCAGCAGUGGGGAAUAUUGCACAAUGGGCGGAAGCCUGAUGCAGCAACGCCGCGUGCGGGAUGACGGCCUUCGGGUUGUAAACCGAUUUCGCAUGUGACGAAGCGUGAGUGACGGUAAUGGGUAAAGAAGCACCGGCUAACUACGUG
Molecule: ribosomal RNA, 468 nt
Filed under: uncultured bacterium
Lineage: Bacteria
Description: partial 16S ribosomal RNA
Rfam family: Bacterial small subunit ribosomal RNA
Source: RNAcentral